CCUACGGGGGGCAGCAGUGAGGAAUAUUGGUCAAUGGGCGAGAGCCUGAACCAGCCAAGUCGCGUGAGGGAGUACUGCCCUAUGGGUUGUAAACCUCUUUUGUCGGGGAGCAAAAGCCGGACGUGUCCGGCUGUGAGAGUUCCCGAAGAACAAGCAUCGGCUAACUCCGUGCCAGCAGCCGCGGUAAUACGGAGGAUGCGAGCGUUAGCCGGAUUUAUUGGGGUUAAAGGGUGCGCAGGCGGAUUUUUAAGUCAGCGGUCAAAUCGUGGGGCUCAACCCCAUCCAGCCGUUGAAACUGGGGAUCUAGAGUGUGCGAGAGGUAUGCGGAAUGCGUGGUGUAGCGGUGAAAUGCAUAGAUAUCACGCAGAACCCCGAUUGCGAAGGCAGCAUACCGGUGCACAACUGACGCUCAGGCACGAAAGCGUGGGUAUCGAACAGGAUUAGAUACCCUUGUAGUC
RNAcentral lists this ribosomal RNA (458 nucleotides) under uncultured bacterium. RNAcentral's name for it is "partial 16S ribosomal RNA". It matches the Rfam family "Bacterial small subunit ribosomal RNA", at positions 338 to 795 of the family's 1533-position model. The record is from RNAcentral.